UGAUUUUCAGAGUAUGGUGUUCCAAAAC
RNAcentral lists this non-coding RNA (28 nucleotides) under Rattus norvegicus (Norway rat). The record is from RNAcentral. Lineage: Eukaryota; Metazoa; Chordata; Mammalia; Rodentia; Muridae.